AGACAGGGUCUCGCUAUGUUGCCCAGGCUGGACUCCACCUCCUGGGCUUCAGGAAUCCUCCUGCCUCAGCCUCCCGAGUAGCUGGGACUACAGGCUUUAAAAGAGGUAUCACUGUCUCCUGAUGGGAUCAGCAUUUUGGUAGAGUCACAACCAAAAGGGGAGUUCAUCUUUACAGGGUUUGAGACAGAGUGAGAAUUUGCAGAACUGAAGAGCUGGAACCACCUGUGACUCCAUUCCAUAAUCCUGCAGCUCAUUCCCUCUGGGAUGCCCUAUGGAAGGAGCAUACCACUGUGGUGAAAAGGGCAUGCCUUAGAGCUCGAAGACUCAGAUGCACAUCACAAUUCUGCCACUUACUAGUUACGUGACCUUGAGCAAAUUUCUUGACCUCUCCUAGCUUCAGUUUCCUCAUCUGCACAAUAAAAAUAAAAUCUGCUUCACAGCAUAUUGC
This is a long non-coding RNA of Pan troglodytes (chimpanzee), 448 nucleotides long. RefSeq lists it as uncharacterized. The record is from RefSeq and is a predicted model, not a curated record. The transcript has 3 exons. NCBI's taxonomy places the organism in Eukaryota, Metazoa, Chordata, Mammalia, Primates, Hominidae.